AUCCCACAUUCUCCGCUUUUUUUUAACGGGGUAUAGCGUAGUUUGGUUAUCGCGCCUGGUUUGGGACCAGGAGAUCGUAGGUUCAAAUCCUGCUACCCCGA
This 101-nucleotide transfer RNA is filed under the name Blattabacterium sp. (Cryptocercus punctulatus) str. Cpu. Its description in RNAcentral is "tRNA-Pro". The stretch from base 27 to 101 matches the Rfam family "tRNA". From Rfam's summary of the family: Transfer RNA (tRNA) molecules are approximately 80 nucleotides in length. Their secondary structure includes four short double-helical elements and three loops (D, anti-codon, and T loops). The record is from RNAcentral. Lineage: Bacteria; Pseudomonadati; Bacteroidota; Flavobacteriia; Flavobacteriales; Blattabacteriaceae.